GGUGGGUAAUGAGUUGAACCCGGGUACCCGUCUCAAUACCCGGACUCGUUAUGAUCACGUGACCAAUAGAUUAUACAAUGUAAUAUGUUAUUCUUUCAUGAUCAAAUGUCACCUGUUUUGAAUAUAAUACAUGGUUAAGAGAUUGAAAAACUCAAAAUUUUAGCGUUAGAGCUGAAGAAUAUAUUGCCAUUUGUUACAAAAUUGAUGUCAGGAAUUAACAUAACAGGUAUCCGGGUAGGGUAGGGUAAUAGGGGGUGGGGUACCCGGGUAGACAAUUUGGACCCGUCCCAGCCCUAACGGUAAUGUCUCCAUACAUACA
Long non-coding RNA from Haliotis rubra (blacklip abalone), 319 nucleotides. RefSeq lists it as uncharacterized. The record is from RefSeq and is a predicted model, not a curated record. NCBI's taxonomy places the organism in Eukaryota, Metazoa, Mollusca, Gastropoda, Lepetellida, Haliotidae. The transcript is spliced from 2 exons.